CCCUUAGAUGUUCUGGGCCGCACGCGCGCUACACUGACGAUGGCAACGAGUUUUUCCUUCGCCGAAAGGUGUGGGUAAUCUUUUGAAACAUCGUCGUGCUGGGGAUAGAUCAUUGCAAUUUUUGAUCUUGAACGAGGAAUUCCUAGUAAGCGCGAGUCAUCAGCUCGCGUUGAUUACUGCCCUGCCCUUUGUACACACCGCCCGUCGCUACUACCGAUUGAAUGGUUUAGUGAGGACUCCUGAUUGGCGCCGCCGCCCCGGCAACGGAGCAGCGGACUGCCGAAAAGUUGUUCAAACUUGAUCAUUUAGAGGAAGUAAAAGUCGUAACA
RNAcentral lists this ribosomal RNA (329 nucleotides) under uncultured eukaryote. RNAcentral's name for it is "partial 18S ribosomal RNA". It matches the Rfam family "Eukaryotic small subunit ribosomal RNA", at positions 1470 to 1796 of the family's 1831-position model. The record is from RNAcentral.